UGUUUUUCAUUGCAUGGCACAGAUCAC
RNAcentral lists this non-coding RNA (27 nucleotides) under Bombyx mori (domestic silkworm). Lineage: Eukaryota; Metazoa; Arthropoda; Insecta; Lepidoptera; Bombycidae. The record is from RNAcentral.